This 247-nucleotide unclassified non-coding RNA is filed under the name uncultured Chaetomium. RNAcentral's name for it is "sequence contains ITS2". The stretch from base 1 to 52 matches the Rfam family "5.8S ribosomal RNA", at positions 103 to 154 of the family's 154-position model. Lineage: Eukaryota; Fungi; Ascomycota; Sordariomycetes; Sordariales; Chaetomiaceae. The record is from RNAcentral.
AACGCACAUUGCGCCCGCCAGUAUUCUGGCGGGCAUGCCUGUUCGAGCGUCAUUUCAACCAUCAAGCCCCGGGCUUGUGUUGGGGACCUGCGGCUGCCGCAGGCCCUGAAAAGCAGUGGCGGGCUCGCUGUCACACCGAGCGUAGUAGCAUACAUCUCGCUCUGGGCGUGCUGCGGGUUCCGGCCGUUAAACCACCUUUUAACCCAAGGUUGACCUCGGAUCAGGUAGGAAGACCCGCUGAACUUAA